RNAcentral lists this ribosomal RNA (2957 nucleotides) under Enorma phocaeensis. Its description in RNAcentral is "23S ribosomal RNA". It matches the Rfam family "Bacterial large subunit ribosomal RNA". Lineage: Bacteria; Bacillati; Actinomycetota; Coriobacteriia; Coriobacteriales; Coriobacteriaceae. The record is from RNAcentral.
CGAGAUGUCACGGGCGCACGGCGGAUGCCUUGGCACAGGAAGCCGACGAAGGACGCGGCAAGCCGCGAUAGUCCCCGGGGAGGCGCACACGGCCUUGGAUCCGGGGGUUUCCGAAUGGGAGAACCCGCCGGCGGGAGCGCCGGCAUCCCCCCGCCGAACGCAUAGGCGGGGGGAGGACAACCCGGGGAACUGAAACAUCUAAGUACCCGGAGGAGGAGAAAUCAACCGAGAUCCCCCGAGUAGCGGCGAGCGAAAGGGGGCCAUGGCCAAACCAGGGAGCGCCUAACGGCCGGAGGGCCUCGCGCCCCUGGGGUUGUGGGACGGCGACGUCGGGGGGGCCUCCGCCCCCCGGGGCGCCGCGCGAGGGGGAGCCGAACGGCCUGGGAGGGCCGGCGGCACAGGGUGACAGCCCCGUAGGCGCACCCCUCCGCGCGGGCCCGGAGCCGGUCCCGAGUAGGGCCGGGCACGUGAAACCCGGUCCGAAGCGGGGUGGACCACCAUCCAAGCCUGAACACUCUCCUGUGACCGAUAGUGGACAAGUACCGCGAGGGAAAGGUGAAAAGCACCCCGGGAGGGGAGUGAAACAGCACCUGAAACCGUGCGCCCACGAGCAGUCGGAGCAGCCUUGCGCUGUGACGGCGUGCCUUUUGUAGAAUGAGCCAGCGAGUCGCUGGCGCGGGGCGAGGUUAAGCUAGGAAGCGAGCCGUAGCGAAGGCGAGUCCCAACAGGGCGUCCAGUCCCGCGCCGCGGGCGCGAAGCCGGGUGAGCUAUCCCUGGGCAGGCUGAAGCGGGGGUAAGACCCCGUGGAGGGCCGAACGGCAGUCCGUUGAAAAGGGCCCCGAUGACCUGGGGAUAGGGGUGAAAGGCCUAUCAAACCCGGAGAUAUCUCGUUCUCCCCGAAAUAGCUUUAGGGCUAGCCUCGGGCGCUCUCCCUGGGAGGUAGAGCACCGGACCGGUGAGGGGGCUUCGCCGCCUACCGAGCCGGACCGAACUCCGAAUGCCCAGGGACCAGGAGCCCGGGAGUCAGAGCAUGUGGGCUAAGCUGUGUGCUCGAGAGGGAAACAGCCCAGACCGCCCGCCAAGGCCCCCAAGUCCGUGCUGAGUGGCAAAGGAUGUGCGUCCGCCCAGACAGCCAGGAGGUUGGCUUAGAAGCAGCCACCCCUUCAAAGAGUGCGUAACAGCUCACUGGCCGAGUGGACGCGCGCCGACAAUACACGGGGCUAAGCACGGCGCCGAAGCGGCGGGAUCGGAGACGAUCGGUAGGGGAGCUUCCCGCGGGGGGCGAAGCCGGUGGGCGACCUCCGGUGGACCGCGCGGGAGUGAGAAUGCUGGCAUGAGUAGCGAGAGAGGAGCGCGAAACUCCUCCGCCGUGAACCCGAGGUUUCCUGGGCGAGGCUAAUCCCCCCAGGGUCAGUCGGGGGCUAAGGCGAGGCCGGCAGGCGUAGCCGAAGCGCAGCAGGCAGACAUUCCUGCACCGCGCAGGACCGCUAUGACCGACGCGGCGACGGAUGGGGGUGGCUCGGCCGGGUUCUGGACGUCCCGGUGAUGGGGUGCGGCCCGCGGGGGAGGGAAGUCCCCCCCGCAUGUGGGCGAGGCCCCGGACGAAGCGAUUAGGCGAAGCGAGUGAGCCCGUGGUCCCUAGAAAAACCGCUAGGCAGGUCCCUGCGCGCCCGUACCGCAAACCGACACAGGUGGGUGGGUAGAACAUACCGAGGCGAUCGGGUCAACCGUGGUCAAGGAACUCGGCACAAUGGCCCCGUAACCUAGGGAGAAGGGGUGCCGCGGCAUCGUGAACGGGCUCGCCCCGGGAGCGAGAGGCGGCCGCAGUGAAGAGGCCCAAGCGACUGUUUACCAAAAACACAGGACUCUGCAGAAGCCGCAAGGCGACGUAUAGGGUCUGACGCCUGCCCGGUGCCGGAAGGUCACGCGGAGGGGUCAGCCGAAAGGCGAAGCUCCGAAGCCAAGCCCCGGUAAACGGCGGCCGUAACUAUAACGGUCCUAAGGUAGCGAAAUUCCUUGUCGGGUAAGUUCCGACCUGCACGAAAGGCGCAACGACUUGGGCGCUGUCUCGACCACGGACCCGGUGAAAUUGCACUGGUCGUGAAGAUGCGACCUACCCGCGGAAGGACGGAAAGACCCCGUGAACCUUCACUGCAGCUUGGCAUUGGCCGCUGGUCGGGAGUGUAGAGGAUAGGUGGGAGGCCGUGAUGGCGGGGCGCCAGCCCCUCCGGAGCCGCCCUUGGAAUACCACCCUCUCCCGUCCGGCGUCCUAACCCCCGGCCGUGAGCCGGCGGGGGGACCGUGCCAGGCGGGCAGUUUGACUGGGGCGGUCGCCUCCUAAAGGGUAACGGAGGCGCGCGAAGGUCCGCUCGGGGCGGUCGGCAACCGCCCUUUUGAAUGCAAGAGUACAAGCGGGCUUGACUGCGAGAGCCACAACUCGAGCAGGUGCGAAAGCAGGCUCUAGUGAUCCGGCGGCCCCACGUGGGUGGGCCGUCGCUCAACGGAUAAAAGGUACUCCGGGGAUAACAGGCUGAUCUUGCCCAAGAGUCCACAUCGACGGCAAGGUUUGGCACCUCGAUGUCGGCUCAUCGCAUCCUGGGGCUGGAGCAGGUCCCAAGGGUACGGCUGUUCGCCGUUUAAAGCGGUACGCGAGCUGGGUUCAGAACGUCGUGAGACAGUUCGGUCCCUAUCCUCCGUGGGCGCAGGGGAAUCGAGGGAGGCUGCCCCCAGUACGAGAGGACCGGGGUGGACGGACCUCCGGUGCACGGGUUGUCGACCGACGGCAUCGCCCGGUAGCCGCGUCCGGCGCGGAUAACCGCUGAAGGCAUCUAAGCGGGAAGCCGUUCCCGAGAUCAGUUCCCCUUUCGGUAAGGGCCCGGGUAGACCACCCGGUGGACAGGCCGCAGGUGCAAGGACGGCGACGUCCUCAGCCGAGCGGUGCUGAUCGCCCGAGCUCU